This 253-nucleotide ribosomal RNA is filed under the name uncultured bacterium. RNAcentral describes it as "partial 16S ribosomal RNA". It matches the Rfam family "Bacterial small subunit ribosomal RNA", at positions 524 to 776 of the family's 1533-position model. The record is from RNAcentral.
UACGGAGGGGACUAGCGUUGUUCGGAAUUACUGGGCGUAAAGCGCACGUAGGCGGAUUUGUAAGUCAGGGGUGAAAUCCUGGAGCUCAACUCCAGAACUGCCUUUGAUACUGAGGAUCUUGAGUUCGGGAGAGGUGAGUGGAACUGCGAGUGUAGAGGUGAAAUUCGUAGAUAUUCGCAAGAACACCAGUGGCGAAGGCGGCUCACUGGCCCGAUACUGACGCUGAGGCGCGAAAGCGUGGGGAGCAAACAGG